Molecule: ribosomal RNA, 900 nt
Filed under: uncultured bacterium
Lineage: Bacteria
Description: bacterial SSU rRNA
Rfam family: Bacterial small subunit ribosomal RNA
Source: RNAcentral
CAGUGGUGAAAGUUUUCAGCUUAACUGGAAAAAUGCCAUUGAUACUGUCAGGCUAGAAUAUGGUUGCUGUGAGUGGAAUGUGUGGUGUAGCGGUGAAAUGCUUAGAUAUCACACAGAAUAUCGAUUGCGAAGGCAGCUCACAAAGCCAUUAUUGACGCUGAGGCACGAAAGUGUGGGGAUCAAACAGGAUUAGAUACCCUGGUAGUCCACACUGUAAACGAUGAUAACUAGUUGUUGGCGAUACACAGUCAGUGACCAAGCGAAAGCGAUAAGUUAUCCACCUGGGGAGUACGACCGCAAGGUUGAAACUCAAAGGAAUUGACGGGGGCCCGCACAAGCGGAGGAACAUGUGGUUUAAUUCGAUGAUACGCGAGGAACCUUACCCGGGCUCGAACGGUGCAGGAAUAUGGUAGAGAUAUCAUAGCUAGCAAUAGUCUGUAUCGAGGUGCUGCAUGGUUGUCGUCAGCUCGUGCCGUGAGGUGUCGGCUUAAGUGCCAUAACGAGCGCAACCCUUGUCGUUAGUUGCCAUCAGGUCAAGCUGGGAACUCUAACGAGACUGCCACCGUAAGGUGUGAGGAAGGGGGGGAUGACGUCAAAUCAGCACGGCCCUUACGUCCGGGGCGACACACGUGUUACAAUGGUAGGUACAGAGGGCCGCUAACCAGCGAUGGUGUGCAAAUCUCAAAAACCUAUCUCAGUUCGGAUCGGAGUCUGCAACUCGACUCCGUGAAGUUGGAUUCGCUAGUAAUCGCGCAUCAGCCAUGGCGCGGUGAAUACGUUCCCGGGCCUUGUACACACCGCCCGUCAAGCCAUGGAAGCUGGGGGUGCCUGAAGUUCGUGACCGCAAGGAGCGACCUAGGGCAAAACUAGUAACUGGGGCUAAGUCGUAACAAGGUAACC